AGGGGGGCACCAAGUUGCCGGCUACUGAGGGGCCGGCCGACUGAAACUGGUUCCAGAAAGUGAUGUGAAAACCUGUAAGCUGGGGCCACCUCCUAGAAAGGACCUUCUAACCUGACUGGGAGUUGUACGCCCCGGGACCUGGGAGUCAACUUUAGACCUGGCAGUCAACCUUGGACCUGGGAACCAACUUGGAAUGUGGUCCCUUCUCAUUCAAGAACUACCUAAUAUCACGGAAGGAAUAACGACCUUGUUGCCCAAACAAUGGAGUCCCACCCCAGCCCAAAUUGCAUACUUCCCCAAGCAUGUAAUCCCUACUUCCCCAUGUAAUCUUUGCCCUUCUUCUCAAUAUAAGCAGCUGGCUUAUGGAAGGUUGCAGAGCUGGUUUUUGUGGAUGACCCGCUGCUCUCCCAUACCGCUGGCAUUAUUGGAAUAAACGUUCUUAUAUGAUUCAA
Myotis brandtii (Brandt's bat) is the source of this 452-nucleotide long non-coding RNA. RefSeq lists it as uncharacterized. NCBI's taxonomy places the organism in Eukaryota, Metazoa, Chordata, Mammalia, Chiroptera, Vespertilionidae. The transcript is spliced from 2 exons. The record is from RefSeq and is a predicted model, not a curated record.